UCAGAUUUGAAAGGCACUUUUGUGCCGUUGUAUUCUGAAGUUAGGGUCCUGAGAAACGAUGCUUAAGUCUUCUGGAAAGGAGCGCCAUGGAGGGUGAUAGCCCCGUCUAGCAUUGACCUCAUAUAGGAUCUUAACAUGGAGUCGAGUUGUUUGGGAAUGCAGCUCAAAUGGGUGGUAUGCUCCAUCUAAAGCUAAAUAUCUGCGAGAGACCGAUAGUAAACAAGUACUGUGAGGGAAAGAUGAAAAGAACUUUGAAAAGAGAGUGAAAAAGUACGUGAAAUUGUUGAAAUGGAAGGGUAGGCCGCUAACCAUGUAGAGCCGUGUUUGGGGGGAAGAUAAAUGCUGUAGAAUGUAGCUCCUCGGAGUAUUAUAGAUGCAGUUCAUAUUCCCACCCGAGCGCGAGGAUCUCAGGUUCUACUAAAUGGUGGUCUACCACCCGUCU
This 442-nucleotide ribosomal RNA is filed under the name Starmerella bacillaris. RNAcentral's name for it is "eukaryotic LSU rRNA". It matches the Rfam family "Eukaryotic large subunit ribosomal RNA", at positions 109 to 654 of the family's 3401-position model. The record is from RNAcentral. Lineage: Eukaryota; Fungi; Ascomycota; Dipodascomycetes; Dipodascales; Trichomonascaceae.